UGCGCAGGCGGCUUCUUAGGCAUGACGUGAAAGCCCCGGGCUCAACCCGGGAGGGUCGUCGUGAACCGGGAGGCUUGAGGCCGGUAGAGGUGGGUGGAACUCCUGGUGGAGUGGUGAAAUGCGUAGAGAUCAGGAAGAACACCCGUGGCGAAGGCGGCCCACUGGGCCGGUACUGACGCUGAGGCACGAAGGCGUGGGGAGCGAACG
RNAcentral lists this ribosomal RNA (207 nucleotides) under uncultured bacterium. RNAcentral describes it as "partial 16S ribosomal RNA". It matches the Rfam family "Bacterial small subunit ribosomal RNA", at positions 568 to 774 of the family's 1533-position model. The record is from RNAcentral.